Homo sapiens (human) is the source of this 343-nucleotide long non-coding RNA. Lineage: Eukaryota; Metazoa; Chordata; Mammalia; Primates; Hominidae. The record is from Ensembl.
AGCUGUCCUUCCACGACACUGUUGGAUGAAAGACAUGUCUCCACCCAAAUUCUUUUGCUUGACCCACUAUGGAGAUUUUUCUCUGGCUUCUUCAGUCUGAAUUCUAGACAGGGCUUGACCGGCGUAAGUAAGCAAGAGAAUGGCUUCAGCUGCACACGUGAGGGCGCAGAGAACUGACUACUACCCACGCGGGACCCUGGGUCCACGGGGACAACCCCACAAGACUGCAGCUACCUUCUGCCCGAUGAAUCUUCCCCAGUCUUUUGUCUCUGUGGUUUGGUGCUUACCUUUUUUUUCUUUCUGCCUCUACUGAACUUCAUGAAAUAUGAUCUUUUAAUAGACA